RNAcentral lists this ribosomal RNA (253 nucleotides) under uncultured bacterium. RNAcentral's name for it is "partial 16S ribosomal RNA". It matches the Rfam family "Bacterial small subunit ribosomal RNA", at positions 524 to 776 of the family's 1533-position model. The record is from RNAcentral.
UACGUAGGGUGCAAGCGUUAAUCGGAAUUACUGGGCGUAAAGCGUGCGCAGGCGGUUUGCUAAGACAGGUGUGAAAUCCCCGGGCCUAACCUGGGAACUGCGCUUGUAACUGGCAAGCUAGAGUGUGGCAGAGGGGGGUGGAAUUCCACGUGUAGCAGUGAAAUGCGUAGAGAUGUGGAGGAACACCGAUGGCGAAGGCAGCCUCCUGGGCCAGCACUGACGCUCAUGCACGAAAGCGUGGGGAGCAAACAGG